Molecule: ribosomal RNA, 143 nt
Filed under: Escherichia coli
Lineage: Bacteria; Pseudomonadati; Pseudomonadota; Gammaproteobacteria; Enterobacterales; Enterobacteriaceae
Description: partial 23S ribosomal RNA
Rfam family: Bacterial large subunit ribosomal RNA (bases 1-125)
Source: RNAcentral
GAGUUCUCCCUGACCCUUUAAGGGUCCUGAAGGAACGUUGAAGACGACGACGUUGAUAGGCCGGGUGUGUAAGCGCAGCGAUGCGUUGAGCUAACCGGUACUAAUGAACCGUGAGGCUUAACCUUACAACGCCGAAGGUGUUU